GAUGAACGCUGACAGAAUGCUUAACACAUGCAAGUCAACUUGAAUUUGGGUUUUUAACUUAGAUUCGGGUGGCGGACGGGUGAGUAACGCGUAAAGAACUUGCCUCACAGCUAGGGACAACAUUUAGAAAUGAAUGCUAAUACCUGAUAUUAUGAUUUUAAGGCAUCUUAGAAUUAUGAAAGCUAUAAGCACUGUGAGAGAGCUUUGCGUCCCAUUAGCUAGUUGGAGAGGUAACAGCUCACCAAGGCGAUGAUGGGUAGCCGGCCUGAGAAGGUGAACGGCCACAAGGGGACUGAGACACGGCCCUUACUCCUACGGGAGGCAGCAGUGGGGAAUAUUGGACAAUGGACCGAGAGUCUGAUCCAGCAAUUCUGUGUGCACGAUGAAGUUUUUCGGAAUGUAAAGUGCUUUCAGUUGGGAAGAAAGAAAUGACGGUACCAACAGAAGAAGUGACGGCUAAAUACGUGCCAGCAGCCGCGGUAAUACGUAUGUCACGAGCGUUAUCCGGAUUUAUUGGGCGUAAAGCGCGUCUAGGUGGUUAUGUAAGUCUGAUGUGAAAAUGCAGGGCUCAACUCUGUAUUGCGUUGGAAACUGUAUAACUAGAGUACUGGAGAGGUAAGCGGAACUACAAGUGUAGAGGUGAAAUUCGUAGAUAUUUGUAGGAAUGCCGAUGGGGAAGCCAGCUUACUGGACAGAUACUGACGCUAAAGCGCGAAAGCGUGGGUAGCAAACAGG
RNAcentral lists this ribosomal RNA (735 nucleotides) under uncultured Fusobacterium sp. RNAcentral describes it as "bacterial SSU rRNA". It matches the Rfam family "Bacterial small subunit ribosomal RNA", at positions 28 to 776 of the family's 1533-position model. Lineage: Bacteria; Fusobacteriati; Fusobacteriota; Fusobacteriia; Fusobacteriales; Fusobacteriaceae. The record is from RNAcentral.